CCUACGGGAGGCAGCAGUGGGGAAUAUUGGGCAAUGGGCGCAAGCCUUACCCAGCAAUACCGCGUGAGUGAAGCAGGUCUUCGGAUUGUAAAGCUCUUUGAUCAGGGACGACCAGAUGACGGUACCUGAAGAACAAGCCCCGGCUAACUACGUGCCCGCAGCCGCGGUAAAACGUAGGGGCCGAGCGUUGUCCGGAAUGACUGGGCGGAAAGGGUGCGUAGUGUGCAUUAUAAGGUAGAAGUGAAAUACCCAGAGCUUAACUCGGGUGCUUCUUCUAAGCAUGUUGAGCUUGAGUGCGGGAGAGGUGAAUGGAAUGCCUAGUGUAGCGGUGGAAUGCGUAGAUAUUAGGAGGAACACCAGAGGCGAAGGCGAUGAACUGGACCGUAACUGACGCUGAGGCACGAAAGUGUGGGUAGCAAACAGGAUUAGAUACCCGUGUAGUC
RNAcentral lists this ribosomal RNA (443 nucleotides) under uncultured bacterium. Its description in RNAcentral is "partial 16S ribosomal RNA". It matches the Rfam family "Bacterial small subunit ribosomal RNA", at positions 338 to 795 of the family's 1533-position model. The record is from RNAcentral.